Molecule: non-coding RNA, 24 nt
Filed under: Arabidopsis thaliana (thale cress)
Lineage: Eukaryota; Viridiplantae; Streptophyta; Magnoliopsida; Brassicales; Brassicaceae
Source: RNAcentral
AUAGGACGUCAUGUGGUUAACACC